GAGGCUGUUCACACUGAUGCCAGAGCCGUGUGGUUGCCAGAAAGUGUCUGCUGAUUAUUUGUGGAAGAAAAGAAAUCUAUUUUGUUUACCUACUGUAUCACAGGGGAGUUGGGGAGAAUGGUAGUAUUUUUUUUUAAUCAGCUGUGAAACAUGUUACAGGUCUGCACAUUUUUGUAUGUACUAGUGUGUGUGUGUGUGUAUGCGCGUGUGUUAAAUUUAGCUUUCCUUUCUUUUUUAAAUGGGUGUACUGACUAGCUUUUACAAACGCAACAGGAAGACCUUGUCAGUGUGAUUCAGGGCCCUCAGCACCCCUGUAUCUGCAGAGUGCCUUCAGAACCCAGCUGUUCAGCCGGUGCCAAGCCAGCCCGGGGACUUCCCUUGGGGGGGCGGGGGAGCUGGGGCUCCCCCCAAACCCUUUUCCUAGGAGCCUGGUGUCCAUUGAAACCCCGUAUCCAUCCCAGCCUUUACAUUGUGAUAUCCGCCGCUGGCGAUUUUUCGUUUUUGCCUUAUUCGGUUCCAAUUUCAGGUAUCUAGCUCCCCGUUCAUGUGGUUUUCCAGAUGUGUUGGGCAUCUGUGCAGCAGCGCCCGCCCCGGAGAACUCUCGCAAAUGCUCAUUCUUUUCAUUACCCUCCUCUAAUGUUCAAGACUUUUCAUACAAAAUGCCAAUUUUUAAAGAAACAACCCCCCCCCCCAGCUCCGGUUUGUGUUUCUCUCUGUUUCUUACGCUGUGGUUUUCAGUGGUCGUGGUGGCUUAGUAUCCUGGCUGUGGUUUUUACAGGGUCGUGUGUAAGAGUUGUUUGCCAGCGUGUGAAGAUGAGCAAAUCCCCCUGACUGGAGGUGGAAGUGGCUCCUUCAUGCAUGUUGGGCUUCUACUUCAUGCAGACGGGACGGUGGCCUUGCCCCCAUGCACAUCUGUCAGGAGAGAGCCACCCUGUCCGUCUUCCUGCCCCUGCUUGCUGGUGUGUCACAUCUGCUCAGGGCUCCACGAGGAAGCUGUGCUGGUUGUGCCGUUUGUAGUGUGUUUGUAUGUGCUGCCCCGUCGAGGCUUUUGCUUGGAAAUAGACCUUAGGUGUGAGAGAGAAAAACAGCUCUCCUGCUCUACUCCUCUGACACGGGGCAGUAGCUGGGCUCUUAGGCCAGUGACUAGGCUGGUAGCUGACCGUGUAAGUUCUCCUUUCGGACAGUAGGAGGCAGUGUGAACCCUUUCCUUUUUUCCUGUUAAGGAGGUGGUUGGAGGUACAAACCCUUCUGCAGAAUAUGCUGGCAGUGUCCGUCUGGGUCCCCGGGAGUCCUCCACGUAAACCCGAGGUUUAGGAAGCAAGGUAGAAGUCUCAAGUUCUCACAAAGGGUUUCAGUCCCGCGAUGAACCCGAAGGCACUUACAGGCCUCAGUGUCCGCUGAUUCUUUAAGGCUGGAUCAACAUGCCUUGCCUUAGCCUCCCGCCUCCCCCCCCCCCAAUGUCACCUCCUACUCCAGGGAGGUGCAGAUGGCUCUGGUACCGCUCUGACCUCACUAAGGGAACCUUGAACACAUCUGGAGGACAGAAUUCCAAAUGCGGGAACAAACCGCCCAGAGCAAGCCUUGGUUAACUCGGUGCUUGCAAUUUGCUUCAGUGGGUCUAAAGUGUUGACGGCUACAGAUGUGUCGAGCACUUUCAGAAGGAUUUUUUUUUAAUGUAUUCGGUGAUUCUCUUAUUGCUUGGAAAACUUUGCCAAAAAAUGCUACAAGUAUAUAAGUAGCUAAAGAAACGUGUGUGCUCUGUCAGGAAAUACUCCAACGUGGAAAAGAAGGAAUGAAGUAGCUUUAGGGGCCCACAGCCAGCUUGCCACACAACUCUUCAUGACUAGGCUGACAGGAAGAUUGUAACACGCAUUCGCUCAGUACUGUGUAAUAAACACUUCUGGUUUCUCAACUUAAGUAAUUUUAUGUGUACCUAGACCAAGAAAAUAGUAAUUCCCCCCCCCCCUUUUCCUCUGUAUUUACCCCAUUAUUUUCUAAGGGAGAUUGGAAUUUGGGGAACUUUUUAUUUUUUAUGAAAAAGGUUGUCAGAAAUAGGUCCCCUUGUGUGGUUAGGAGGGCCUCCUUAGCAUUAUGGCGUGAAGAGAUAAGAACAUUUGUUUCAAGGGGAACCAAAGCUUGGGCAGGCUGGAGAGGCGUCGGGAAGGAGGGAGGGAGGGAGUCCCAAGGGGAAGAGAUGCGUGUAAGGCAAGGCGUCACCUGUCAAAACAAAUUGGGCGGGAAGGGUGCCUUCUGGGAGAUCAAAGGCUGACAAUUAAACUCGACCCCUGCUGUCUUUCCCCAGCCUUUCCUUCUGGUCCCUGACGGCCUUCCUGGUUUCAUGUCAUUCCAAAGGAGUGUCUUGCUCUUUGGUAGCAGCCCGGGGAAAGUCCCGCGCACUUCUGUCUCCGUGUUGCCCCGCGGAGUCACAUCCCGGAGCCGGGUGCCUGGCAGGUGCUGGCGGGGUUCUGAAGGCCCUCCUCCAGUGGCGCGCUGAGGGGGCUGAGGUCUGCCUGUGCCCAGCUCUCCACCGCCCCUAGAAUGCAUCCAGGCUCGGGGAGGAAGAAUCGGGGUUUCCUCUGGAGGUUACCGCGUUCGCGGGAGGAUAGCAGCCACCUCUCCCCACGGUUGCUUCAUUGGGAAACGCUUGGCGACGUACGUUUUGUCCAGGAUGAAGAAGUUGGGUCUAUCAGUAGAUUCGGGGUCUAACAGACUGCGGGGCAGACCGAGCGCCUGUAAGGAAAUGUCCACUGAGUAUCCGUGAAGUCUCUGCCGUCGUCCUGGUCGGAUACAGUCCAGAGGUCCUCAGACCACCGGCCCCAGCCGAGGUCAGUCCUCCGCCUCCCUCCCUCCCUCCCCAGUGGCUUUGGAGUGUGGCGUCUCACGUUCCGCUCUGGCCUGUUUACGGAGGGUGGUUGUGUCUGGUGUCCACACUGCCAGGGAGGGCCACGUGCACAUGUCCAGAGCCCUUCCUUCCACGGCCACAGAGCCCGCAGGCUCUGCUACACCACACACCGAGACCGGCCAGCUAUGCUGUGCAGGUUGCAGGGAGAGUUCUUCAUUAUUUCCAUGCUGUUCGUGGACAACUUGAUUGCCUCUUAGUGUUCAUUUAGAAGACACUUCCCACUGGUUACCAUAGACAUAUAUAUAUAUAUAUAUAUAUACACAUAUAUAUAUAUACUUAUAUAUAUAU
Molecule: long non-coding RNA, 3190 nt
Organism: Perognathus longimembris pacificus (Pacific pocket mouse)
Lineage: Eukaryota; Metazoa; Chordata; Mammalia; Rodentia; Heteromyidae
Exons: 3
Source: RefSeq, a predicted model, not a curated record